GUUGUAUAGUCAAGUAAUUAAGUGCAUGUGGUGGAUGCCUUGGCAGUCAGAGGCGAUGAAAGACGUGAUAGCCUGCGAAAAGCUCCGGGGAGGCGGCAAAUAUCCUUUGAUCCGGAGAUGUCUGAAUGGGGAACCCACCUACUUUAAGGUAGGUAUUGCAACAUGAAUACAUAGUGUUGCAAGGCGAACGAGGGGAAGUGAAACAUCUCAGUACCCUUAGGAAAAGAAAUCAAUUGAGAUUCCCUCAGUAGCGGCGAGCGAACGGGGAUCAGCCCAUUAAGUUAUGUGUGUUUUAGUGGAACGCUCUGGGAAGUGCGAACGUAGAGGGUGAUAUUCCCGUACACGAAAGGGCACACAUAAUGAUGACGAGUAGGGCGAGGCACGUGAAACCUUGUCUGAAUAUGGGGGACCAUCCUCCAAGGCUAAAUACUCCUGACUGACCGAUAGUGAACCAGUACCGUGAGGGAAAGGCGAAAAGAACCCCUGUGAGGGGAGUGAAAUAGAUCCUGAAACCGCAUGCAUACAAGCAGUGGGAGCACCUUCGUGGUGUGACUGCGUACCUUUUGUAUAAUGGGUCAGCGACUUAUAUUCAGUAGCAAGGUUAACCGUAUAGGGGAGCCGUAGAGAAAUCGAGUCUUAAUAGGGCGUUUAGUUGCUGGGUAUAGACCCGAAACCAGGCGAUCUAUCCAUGAGCAGGUUGAAGGUUGGGUAACACUAACUGGAGGACCGAACCCACUGUCGUUGAAAAGCCAGGGGAUGACUUGUGGAUAGGGGUGAAAGGCUAAUCAAGCCUGGUGAUAGCUGGUUCUCCCCGAAAGCUAUUUAGGUAGCGCCUCGGACGAAUACCAUAGGGGGUAGAGCACUGUUUCGGCUAGGGGGUCAUCCCGACUUACCAAACCGAUGCAAACUCCGAAUACCUAUGAGUACUAUCCGGGAGACAGACUGCGGGUGCUAACGUCCGUAGUCAAGAGGAAAACAAUCCAGACCGCCAGCUAAGGCCCCAAAAUCAUAGUUAAGUGGGAAACGAUGUGGGAAGGCAUAGACAGCUAGGAGGUUGGCUUAGAAGCAGCCACCCUUUAAAGAAAGCGUAAUAGCUCACUAGUCGAGUCGGCCUGCGCGGAAGAUGUAACGGGGCUAAAACUAUGUGCCGAAGCUGCGGAUUUGACAUUAGUCAAGUGGUAGGGGAGCGUUCUGUAAGCCGAUGAAGGUGUGUUGAGAAGCAUGCUGGAGGUAUCAGAAGUGCGAAUGCUGACGUGAGUAACGACAAAACGGGUGAAAAACCCGUUCGCCGAAAGACCAAGGGUUCCAGUCCAACGUUAAUCGGGGCUGGGUGAGUCGACCCCUAAGGCGAGGCCGAAAGGCGUAGUCGAUGGGAAAAUGGUUAAUAUUCCAUUACUUCUGUGUAAUGCGAUGAGAGGACGGAGAAGGCUAAAUCAGCCUGGCGUUGGUUGUCCAGGUGAAAGGAUGUAGGCAUGUAUCUUAGGCAAAUCCGGGGUACUCUAUGCUGAGAUCUGAUAGCAAGCUGUACUUGUACAGCGAAGUGGUUGAUGCCAUGCUUCCAGGAAAAGUCUCUAAGCUUCAGUUACACAGGAAUCGUACCCGAAACCGACACAGGUGGUCAGGUCGAGUAGACCAAGGCGCUUGAGAGAACUCUGCUGAAGGAACUAGGCAAAAUGGUACCGUAACUUCGGGAGAAGGUACGCUGUUGUUGGUGAUGGAACUCGCUUCCUGAGCUGACGACAGCCGCAGAAACCAGGCCGCUGCAACUGUUUAUUAAAAACAUAGCACUCUGCAAACACGAAAGUGGACGUAUAGGGUGUGAUGCCUGCCCGGUGCUGGAAGGUUAAUUGAUGGGGUUAGCGUAAGCGAAGCUCUUGAUCGAAGCCCCAGUAAACGGCGGCCGUAACUAUAACGGUCCUAAGGUAGCGAAAUUCCUUGUCGGGUAAGUUCCGACCUGCACGAAUGGCAUAAUGAUGGCGGCGCUGUCUCCAGCAGAGGCUCAGUGAAAUCGAAAUCGCUGUGAAGAUGCAGUGUACCCGCGGCUAGACGGAAAGACCCCGUGAACCUUUACUGCAGCUUGACACUGAACUUUGACCUUACUUGUGUAGGAUAGGUGGGAGGCUUUGAAGCUGGAACGCUAGUUCCAGUGGAGCCGUCCUUGAAAUACCACCCUGGUAAUGUUGAGGUUCUAACUCUGUCCCGUGAUCCGGGACGAGGACCGUGUCUGGUGGGUAGUUUGACUGGGGCGGUCUCCUCCUAAAGAGUAACGGAGGAGUACGAAGGUGCGCUCAGCGUGGUCGGAAAUCACGCGUAGAGUAUAAAGGCAAAAGCGCGCUUAACUGCGAGACCCACAAGUCGAGCAGGUACGAAAGUAGGUCUUAGUGAUCCGGUGGUUCUGUAUGGAAGGGCCAUCGCUCAACGGAUAAAAGGUACUCUGGGGAUAACAGGCUGAUACCGCCCAAGAGUUCAUAUCGACGGCGGUGUUUGGCACCUCGAUGUCGGCUCAUCUCAUCCUGGGGCUGAAGCAGGUCCCAAGGGUAUGGCUGUUCGCCAUUUAAAGAGGUACGCGAGCUGGGUUUAGAACGUCGUGAGACAGUUCGGUCCCUAUCUACCGUGGGCGCUGGAAAUUUGAGAGGAUCUGCUCCUAGUACGAGAGGACCAGAGUGGACGAACCUCUGGUGUACCGGUUGUGACGCCAGUCGCAUCGCCGGGUAGCUAUGUUCGGAAGGGAUAACCGCUGAAAGCAUCUAAGCGGGAAGCCUACCUCAAGAUAAGAUUUCCCUAGGACUUUAUGUCCUCUAAAGAGCCGUUCGAGACUAGGACGUUGAUAGGUUGGAUGUGGAAGCAUAGUGAUAUGUGAAGCUGACCAAUACUAAUUGCUCGUGAGGCUUGACUAUACAACACCCAAGCAGUUG
Molecule: ribosomal RNA, 2915 nt
Filed under: Acinetobacter baumannii
Lineage: Bacteria; Pseudomonadati; Pseudomonadota; Gammaproteobacteria; Moraxellales; Moraxellaceae
Description: 23S ribosomal RNA
Rfam family: Bacterial large subunit ribosomal RNA
Source: RNAcentral